UACGGAGGGAGCUAGCGUUGUUCGGAAUUACUGGGCGUAAAGCGCACGUAGGCGGCUUUGUAAGUUAGAGGUGAAAGCCCGGAGCUCAACUCCGGAACUGCCUUUAAGACUGCAUCGCUUGAAUCCAGGAGAGGUGAGUGGAAUUCCGAGUGUAGAGGUGAAAUUCGUAGAUAUUCGGAAGAACAUCAGUGGCGAAGGCGGCUCACUGGACUGGUAUUGACGCUGAGGUGCGAAAGCGUGGGGAGCAAACAGG
RNAcentral lists this ribosomal RNA (253 nucleotides) under uncultured bacterium. RNAcentral's name for it is "partial 16S ribosomal RNA". It matches the Rfam family "Bacterial small subunit ribosomal RNA", at positions 524 to 776 of the family's 1533-position model. The record is from RNAcentral.